RNAcentral lists this ribosomal RNA (480 nucleotides) under uncultured bacterium. Its description in RNAcentral is "partial 16S ribosomal RNA". It matches the Rfam family "Bacterial small subunit ribosomal RNA", at positions 28 to 507 of the family's 1533-position model. The record is from RNAcentral.
GAUGAACGCUAGCGGCAGGCCUAACACAUGCAAGUCGAGGGGGAGGUUACUUUCGGGUAACUGAGACCGGCGUACGGGUGCGUAACGCGUAUACAAUCUGCCUUUCACUGGGGGAUAGCCCGAAGAAAUUUGGAUUAAUACCCCAUAGUAUAGUAAUACGGCAUCGUGAUGCUAUUAAAGCUUAGGUGGUGAAAGAUGAGUAUGCGUUCUAUUAGCUAGUUGGAGAGGUAACGGCUCUCCAAGGCGAUGAUAGAUAGGGGUUCUGAGAGGGAUGUCCCCCACACUGGUACUGAGAUACGGACCAGACUCCUACGGGAGGCAGCAGUGAGGAAUAUUGGACAAUGGUCGGAAGACUGAUCCAGCCAUGCCGCGUGCAGGAUGAAGGUCUUAUGGAUUGUAAACUGCUUUUGUAAGGGAAGAAUAAGGGCUACGCGUAGUUUGAUGACGGUACCUUACGAAUAAGCAUCGGCUAACUCCGUG